AUUGAACGCUGGCGGCAUGCUUUACACAUGCAAGUCGAACGGUAACAGGCCUUCGGGUGCUGACGAGUGGCGCACGGGUGAGUAAUGCAUCGGAACGUGCCCAGAGGUGGGGGAUAACGCAGCGAAAGCUGUGCUAAUACCGCAUGUGAUCUGAGGAUGAAAGCGGGGGACCAGGCAGCACUGUUUGGCCUCGCGCCUUUGGAGCUGCCGAUGUCAGAUUAGGUAGUUGGUGGGGUAAAGGCCUACCAAGCCGACGAUCUGUAGCUGGUCUGAGAGGACGACCAGCCACACUGGGACUGAGACACGGCCCAGACUCCUACGGGAGGCAGCAGUGGGGAAUUUUGGACAAUGGGCGCAAGCCUGAUCCAGCAAUGCCGCGUGCGGGAAGAAGGCCUUCGGGUUGUAAACCGCUUUUGUACGGAACGAAAAGGAUCUGGCUAAUACCUGGGGCUGAUGACGGUACCGUAAGAAUAAGCACCGGCUAACUACGUG
Molecule: ribosomal RNA, 492 nt
Filed under: uncultured bacterium
Lineage: Bacteria
Description: partial 16S ribosomal RNA
Rfam family: Bacterial small subunit ribosomal RNA
Source: RNAcentral